This 268-nucleotide long non-coding RNA is filed under the name Monodelphis domestica (gray short-tailed opossum). RNAcentral's name for it is "lncRNA (ENSMODG00000037350.1)". Lineage: Eukaryota; Metazoa; Chordata; Mammalia; Didelphimorphia; Didelphidae. The record is from RNAcentral.
CCCAAGAGUGUGAGUGGCCAAUCUGUCUCUACAGCUGGCAAAGAAAGGAGGUGAGACGCUCCUGGAGCACAGAAGCCCACAGCCAAGGCAGAUCGAUUCCAUCCCGAGCCAUUAUUUCUACAUGAAAAGGAGCCUUCCAGUGUGCGGAGUCAAAUCACAGGGAAUGACCCCGCCUCCGCCCCUGAUUUUCCCGGUAAGUAGAAUUCAGAAUUUGAUUUUUUAAUGGGCUGUUAUGCGUUGUCACUCAGCUGUGACUGGGAGCCGUGUG